GGCGCUGCAUGGUACUCUGCACUCAGCAGUCCUUUCUUGCUGGUGUGUUCAAAAGACAGUGCAAUAGAAAUUCACUAUCUGGCAUCGUUGGUUUCUUGGCUUUGUGCAAGAUAAACCUGGUCUUUCUAAUGAUACAGUU
This is a small nucleolar RNA of Myodes glareolus (Bank vole), 139 nucleotides long. RefSeq annotates it as small nucleolar RNA SNORA8. The record is from RefSeq and is a predicted model, not a curated record. Lineage: Eukaryota; Metazoa; Chordata; Mammalia; Rodentia; Cricetidae.